AGAGUUUGAUCCUGGCUCAGAACGAACGCUGGCGGCAGGCUUAACACAUGCAAGUCGAGCGGGCCCUUCGGGGUCAGCGGCAGACGGGUGAGUAACGCGUGGGAAUCUACCCAUCCCUACGGAACAACUCCGGGAAACUGGAGCUAAUACCGUAUACGCCCUUUUGGGGAAAGAUUUAUCGGGGAUGGAUGAGCCCGCGUUGGAUUAGCUAGUUGGUGGGGUAAAGGCCUACCAAGGCGACGAUCCAUAGCUGGUCUGAGAGGAUGAUCAGCCACAUUGGGACUGAGACACGGCCCAAACUCCUACGGGAGGCAGCAGUGGGGAAUAUUGGACAAUGGGCGCAAGCCUGAUCCAGCCAUGCCGCGUGAGUGAUGAAGGCCCUAGGGUUGUAAAGCUCUUUCAACGGUGAAGAUAAUGACGGUAGCCGUAGAAGAAGCCCCGGCUAACUUCGUG
RNAcentral lists this ribosomal RNA (453 nucleotides) under uncultured Hyphomicrobiales bacterium. RNAcentral describes it as "bacterial SSU rRNA". It matches the Rfam family "Bacterial small subunit ribosomal RNA", at positions 8 to 507 of the family's 1533-position model. The record is from RNAcentral. Lineage: Bacteria; Pseudomonadati; Pseudomonadota; Alphaproteobacteria; Hyphomicrobiales.